UAAGUCAGUGGUGAAAGCCUGUCGCUUAACGAUAGAACUGCCAUUGAUACUGUAAGUCUUGAGUAUAUUUGAGGUAGCUGGAAUAAGUAGUGUAGCGGUGAAAUGCAUAGAUAUUACUUAGAACACCAAUUGCGAAGGCAGGUCACUAAGAUUUAACUGACGCUGAUGGACGAAAGCGUGGGGAGCGAACAGGAUUAGAUACCCUGGUAGUCCACGCCGUAAACGAUGAUAACUCGGUGCUGGCGAUAUACGGUCAGUGCCCAAGCGAAAGUGAUAAGUUAUCCACCUGGGGAGUACGAUCGCAAGGUUGAAACUCAAAGGAAUUGACGGGGGCCCGCACAAGC
RNAcentral lists this ribosomal RNA (344 nucleotides) under Thalassiosira minuscula. RNAcentral's name for it is "partial Bacterial small subunit ribosomal RNA". It matches the Rfam family "Bacterial small subunit ribosomal RNA", at positions 584 to 930 of the family's 1533-position model. Lineage: Eukaryota; Bacillariophyta; Thalassiosirophyceae; Thalassiosirales; Thalassiosiraceae. The record is from RNAcentral.